Molecule: ribosomal RNA, 393 nt
Filed under: uncultured bacterium
Lineage: Bacteria
Description: partial 16S ribosomal RNA
Rfam family: Bacterial small subunit ribosomal RNA
Source: RNAcentral
AUACGGAAGGUCCGGGCGUUAUCCGGAUUUAUUGGGUUUAAAGGGAGCGCAGGCGGAGAUGCAAGCGUGACGUCAAAUUUCGGGGCUCAACCCCGUCUCGCGUCGCGAACUGCGUCCCUUGGUUGCGGGAAGGGGAGGCGGAACUCGUGGUGUAGCGGUGAAAUGCAUAGAUAUCACGAAGAACUCCGAUCGCGAAGGCAGCCUUCCGGCCCGUCAACGACGCGCAUGCUCGAAGGGGCGGGUAUCAAACAGGAUUAGAUACCCUGGUAUUCCGCACAGUAAACGAUGGACACCCGCGGUGUGACCUGUAUGGCUGAGCCGCCAAGCGAAAACGUUAAGUGUCCCACCUGGGGAGUACGCCGGCAACGGUGAAACUCAAAUGAAUUGACGGGG